RNAcentral lists this ribosomal RNA (461 nucleotides) under uncultured bacterium. RNAcentral describes it as "SSU rRNA". It matches the Rfam family "Bacterial small subunit ribosomal RNA", at positions 26 to 518 of the family's 1533-position model. The record is from RNAcentral.
AGAAUCAACGCUGGCGGCGUGCCUAACACAUGCAAGUCGCACGAGAAAGGGUAGCAAUACCUGAGUACAGUGGCGCACGGGUGAGUAACACGUGAAUAAUCUACCUCCGAGUGGGGAAUAACUGAGAGAAAUCUUAGCUAAUACCGCAUAAUACCCACGGGUCAAAGCAGCAAUGCGCUUGGAGAGGAGUUCGCGGCAGAUUAGUUAGUUGGCGGGGUAAUGGCCCACCAAGACGAUGAUCUGUAUCCGGCCUGAGAGGGCGCACGGACACACUGGAACUGAAACACGGUCCAGACUCCUACGGGAGGCAGCAGUGGGGGAAUUUUGCGCAAUGGGGGAAACCCUGACGCAGCAACGCCGCGUGGAGGAUGAAGCCCCUUGGGGUGUAAACUCCUUUCGAUCGGGAAGAUAAUGACGGUACCGAUAUAAGAAGCCCCGGCUAACUUCGCGCCAGCAGCCGC